RNAcentral lists this ribosomal RNA (216 nucleotides) under uncultured prokaryote. Its description in RNAcentral is "partial 16S ribosomal RNA". It matches the Rfam family "Bacterial small subunit ribosomal RNA", at positions 524 to 739 of the family's 1533-position model. The record is from RNAcentral.
UACGUAGGGUGCGAGCGUUGCCCGGAUUUAUUGGGCGUAAAGGGCGCGUAGGCGGCUCUGCACGUUCGUUGUGAAAUCGCCCGGCUCAACUGGGCGGGGUCAGCGGAUACGGCAGAGCUUGAGCAAGCUAGGGGGCAAUGGAAUUCCCGGUGUAGUGGUGGAAUGCGUAGAUAUCGGGAGGAACGCCAGUGGCGAGGGCGGUUGCCUGGGGCUUUG